AAUUAUAAUAUUUUUGCUUUUUGGAUAUAUUUUUAGUUUUUUGAUGGAAAUAACUUUUAUUUUAGUAUAUUUUAUUGAAAUUAUUAUUUUAGCAAUAGUUUAUUUUACUGUAAAGGAUACUUUAUUUUAUGUUAUAAGCAGAUUUUUUUUAUUGUACCUUUUGUAUCAGGGUAUAUUUAUUAUAAUUUAAUUAUUAUUAAUUUUCCCGAAGUUAAAGGAGAUAUAUUUUUAUGUUGUUUUAUGUUUUAUAAUAAUCAUUAAUUUUUAUAUAGGGGUUAUAUGCUAUUCAACUUUAAAUAUCUGGUUACUCAAUAAUUUAAUUUAAUUAAGAUUAUUAUUUAGUUGUUUAUUAAUUUAAUUAUUUUCAAUAAUAAUAAUCAAGUUUAUAAGGGAUAAGCUUUAUAUAUAUAUUAUAACACUAGGUUAAAUUAAAAUUUUGUAGGUUUAAUAACGACCAUCAUUUAUUUCGUUAUAGUUAAUUUUUAAUUUUAUUUUAUUUAAUUUUAGUUUAAUUUUUUAUUGAGUUUUUUUAUUUAAUUUUAAUUUUAUAAGUAAUAAUGAUUUAAUUAGUAGUUUUGUAAAUUUAAAUAUAGUAAUUCGGCAAAUUUAAUUCUCACCUGUUUAACAAAAACAUGUCCUACAGAUUAAGUAAUUUUAGGUCUAACCUGCUCAGUGAUUAUAUUAAACAGCCGCAGUAUUUUGACUGUGCGAAGGUAGCAUAAUCAUUUGUCUUUUAAAUGAAGGCUAGAAUGAAUGGUUGAAUGAGGGAUUAACUUUCUUUUUUUAAAUUUUAUGAAUUUGAUGUUUUGGUUAAAAAGCUUAAAUUAUCUUGCAAGACGAGAAGACCCUAUAGAAUUUUAUUUCAUUUAAUAUAUUUAUUUUUUGGUUAAUUAUUUAUAAAUAUAUAAAUUGGAAUUUUGUUGGGGUGACAUUGAAAAUUAAUUAACUUUCAAUUUUUAUUUUUCAUUUAUUUAUGUUUAAUUUGAUCCUUUAUUAAAGAUUAUAAGAUUAAAUUACCUUAGGGAUAACAGCGUAAUUUUUUCGGAGAGUUCUUAUCGAUGAAUGAAGUUUGCGACCUCGAUGUUGGAUUAAGGAAAGUUUUGGGUGUAGUAGCUCAAAUUAAACUAAGUCUGUUCGACUUUUGAAUCUUUACAUGAUCUGAGUUCAGACCGGUGUGAGCCAGGUUGGUUUCUAUCUGCAAAUUAAUAAUUACAAUUUAGUACGAAAGGACCAAUUGUGAGUAAUAUUUAUCUACUUUUGAUUAUUUAUUA
RNAcentral lists this ribosomal RNA (1271 nucleotides) under Hygia sp. RNAcentral's name for it is "16S ribosomal RNA". The stretch from base 830 to 1201 matches the Rfam family "Archaeal large subunit ribosomal RNA", at positions 2150 to 2716 of the family's 2987-position model. Lineage: Eukaryota; Metazoa; Arthropoda; Insecta; Hemiptera; Coreidae. The record is from RNAcentral.